RNAcentral lists this ribosomal RNA (379 nucleotides) under uncultured bacterium. RNAcentral describes it as "bacterial SSU rRNA". It matches the Rfam family "Bacterial small subunit ribosomal RNA", at positions 30 to 410 of the family's 1533-position model. The record is from RNAcentral.
AUUGAACGCUGGCGGCAUGCCUUACACAUGCAGGUCGAACGGCAGCACGGGAGCAAUCCUGGUGGCGAGUGGCGAACGGGUGAGUAAUAUAUCGGAACGUGCCCAGUCGUGGGGAUAACGUAGCGAAAGCUACGCUAAUACCGCAUACGAUCUAUGGAUGAAAGCGGGGGAUCGCAAGACCUCGCGCGAUUGGAGCGGCCGAUAUCAGAUUAGGUAGUUGGUGAGGUAAAGGCUCACCAAGCCGACGAUCUGUAGCUGGUCUGAGAGGACGACCAGCCACACUGGGACUGAGACACGGCCCAGACUCCUACGGGAGGCAGCAGUGGGGAAUUUUGGACAAUGGGCGCAAGCCUGAUCCAGCAAUGCCGCGUGCAGGAUG